Long non-coding RNA from Equus caballus (horse), 4865 nucleotides. RefSeq lists it as uncharacterized. The record is from RefSeq and is a predicted model, not a curated record. NCBI's taxonomy places the organism in Eukaryota, Metazoa, Chordata, Mammalia, Perissodactyla, Equidae.
GGGGGGGGGGGCAACAAACAAGGAAACAAGAUAAUUAUACAUGGAAGUGAGUUCCAGAAAGGAGAAAAUCAACUCUAGGUAAGUAACUGGGGAGGUCUCUGAAGAUGGACCAUGGCGCUGAGCCUGAAGGAUGAAGGAAGCCAGAGCUGGGACGGCAGCCUGGGUAGGGGGUCAGUGGAGACAGGAGCUGGGUGGCUUCCUGUGAGCUGCCCUCUUCUAGGUACCAGGGGCACAGCCAGGGACAGGACAUCACAGCCCAAGGGAGCUGACACUCCAGUGGGGAAGUUUAUCCCAAGGAUGAACAGGACUAGAAUGUCAAGGUGGGCAGCUCUAAAUUGCUUUUUCUUCCUCCUUGUUCUCCAUUUGCCAAGUUUCCCGCCAUAAGCACAGUUUUCCAGUCAGGCAGAAAGCCAAUAAGUUCUUUCUUAACCUCUUGAGAUCCUUUCCUGGAGUCCCCAGCCUGCCCCAGCUCUCCUCAUCUGCCAGGCUGGAAGCCCGAUGGAGGCCCCAGGGUACCGAUGGGGCGCGUGGGUGCCUGGGCGUGUGCCCUGGUGCUUGAGGCGGGAGCUGCCUUCUGCCUGAUUCGAUCUGAAGGCAGGUGGUCAUUUCACACCCCAGGGAGCAGGGUCUGCUUCUGUCUCCUGCAGGGCACGGUGCUUAGGAGCCAAGCGUCACCUAAUUUUGCCCCAUCUGCUAGCCAUCUCCUGUUUUCACACUUCAAUUUAUUUUCCGUAAUUGCUGUGGGGCGACGUUGGGCUGAAAAUCAUUUUCUUUCCAAAACAAAGAGCCAAGAGAAUCAGACUUCCUCUUCCUCAGGAGGGGGGCCUCAGAGGACAGAGGGCUCUAAGCAAUGCCAUGUGAGAGUAGCUGCAGGGAUGGGCCAUUUCUCACAAUACAACUGUUUGUGAAACAGCUGUUCGUAUGACAACAGUCAUACACAAUGAUUGGUCCUGUGGGUGGAAUGUUGCAUCUUUGGGGAACAUUGCACAGGAAGUAACAACUCCCUGGCAGGGAGAGACCAUGAUCACCAUUGAUUGAGCACCAACUGUAUACCAGAUGUUGGAUCCCCAGCCUAAAGAACUUUUUUUCUUUGCAUCAAAGCAGAAAGAUAAUUUUAGGUGGUUUUUCAAAUGGAAUAGGAGCCUGAGUCAGCUGUGAGCAUGAGGCUGGCCUCCAAAAGGUACUUGAACAUUCAUUAAAUUAAUGUGUCAACAUCAUGCCUCUUCCCUUCGCUUCUCUUGGCUCUGGCCCUCCCUGACUGGUCCCUGUGCCACCUCCUUGCCCAUCAAUCCUGGUUUUACACUUUUUGAUCCAGUGAUGCUGUACUGCUACAGGUCCUGGCUUCACCCCGUCACCUCCAGGCCUCUGCUCAUUCUGUUCCCUUUGAAAUGCCCUUCCCUCCCCUGCUCCCUGCCCUUCACCUUAACCCAGCUUACACCUGCCCAAUCAUGUCCAUCAUAAGAGAACCUUCUCUGAGAGCUGUAGGCCCAGCUGAGAGCCUGUCUCAUACAAUUCCCAUGAUAUUCAGUACAAUCUCAUAAUGUCCCAUGAACCCGGUAUCUUGUUUCCACGUUGCAUUAUCAUUAUGUUUACUUGAUGAUUUCCCCCCAUAAACUGUGAACUACUUGAGAAUGAGGGCUGUGUCUCGUUAAUUUCUCUCUCUGAGCACUUAGCACAGAGCCUGGCUCGGGGAAAUCUCCCAAUGUUGAGUGAAUGGAUGAAUGAAUGACUCAUUAUAGGUCUGAACUCAGAAAACAGGGACUAAAUGACAGUUGACCCCCGUGUCCUGGGCCCGAGUAAACUUCUGGGGAGGUGAUCAAAAAGUGUUCGCGUGUUGGCAGUGGGCAAGGACGUGCUGCCGGGUACACGCUAGGUGCUAGGCAAGGGCCACGCUGUGAGAUGUCCCUCUCUGGGGCGUGUGCAGCCCCCCGGGUCUGGAGUUCCGGCUGGGAGAGGGGGCGUGCGACUUCCAAGGGGAAUUGGGUUAUUGCCCUCUUGCAUGAAUUCACAAUACUAGUUUUCUUUCACACUUUUAUUUUUGGGAAGGAAAAGUACUUUGCCUGAAGGCUUGGCUUCCCGGGAGUUUCCAGAAACUGAUUUUCUAGAAGUUGCCCAAUUCUGCUAGAAUCCUUGUCAUUGUUUAAAACUGACUUCUGCCAAGGGAAAGGAAGAGAAUCUCAGAGAAUCCCUGGUCUGAACCUCAGAGAUCGUGGACUCUAACAUUCCUCCCCUGUAAGGACUUCUAACACAUCUGGCCCAGUGAUCUUCCUGCCUCCGCUCAUGGGGACCGAUGACUUCAGGCAGAGAAUCUGGACAGAAGGUUUGCAUCUCCGCAUCCCAGACCCCCUUCGAGAAAGAAUAGGAACAGCAAACAUGACCCCAGAGUACCCUCCCAGCCACUUCCAGGAGAGGAGUGUGGUGGGGGCUUCCUACAACAGGCAGCUGCUUUCUCUGCUCCCCACCGUCACCUCUUAUGUGUCACAGCUCUAAAGGGGGUUAAAUAACCCCUCCCCCAGCCAGUGCUCAUCUGGUCUUCACGGUGACCUCGUUAGGCCAACGAGGCAGGGAUCAUUUUCAGAUGGGGCUUAAAGCUGCUUAGUGACCUUCCCAAGGUCACAGAAUAAGGCAAACCAGACUUUGUCCCGUAGCCCUGACUGCCCACCCACAUCCAUCCCAAUAUACCUGGACUUAUGCCAUGGGCCAGACUAAUACUUAGCAAUUGGGUACCAGUCUUAUGUACCUAUGUGCUGUCGUGUUUCUAUACCAUUUUUAUAAAGUCUCAGCUCUCUUAAAAUCGUAGCAUUCAUCAGCAUACAAAAACUGUUAGGAAUUUCCAAUUCAGUCCAGUUAAGAGGUUAUAGUAGGUCCUAGCUAGAUUAACCAAGGAUUAUCCUUCAAAUAAAGUAAGAACAUCUCCUGGGCGGGGGUCUGCAUUAUGAUGUCACAAGACUGCACUGUAGGGUAAAGACCCCUGGCCUCAUCUAUUCAUUUAACAAACGUGGGUUGAAUGUCUACCCGUGGCCCCGCCCUGCACUAGGACCUAACGAGAGACAAGACCCAGAAUCUGCCUUUGAAGGAGGGGGUCAGUUCAGGAAUAUGGACUCUGUCGUCAGGACACAGAAGAGCCUUUGCAGGACUAAAUCGGGCCAGAUUGUCCCUUUAGCUGUGGUGUGGAGAAGGGGUCAGAGGUGUAGGCGGGAGCUCCGGAGACCCUGCUGGUCUCGGUGACACAGGUGCGUGACAGUGGUGGCCUACACCAGAGCAGUGGCUGUGGAGACAGAUUCUCCAGCCAUUCAGGCAGUGGAAUUGACAGCACCUAGCUCGUGGCUCAGGAAUUUUGCAGCACCUGUCCGUAUACUCUGCUUCCAGGACUUGUACAUGUCCGUUACUCCCACUUUACUGCAAACUCCCCAAGAAGGCCUGGUAAGCAGGCUGCUGCCUAAUUCAUCUUUGUAUCGCCAGGGCCUGACUCCAUGCUGGACACAUAGGAGGCAUUCUGUAACUAGGUUAGUUGCGUGCAUGAAUAAGCACAUUGUAUUCAAACUUCACCAAGCAGCAACUCUCAAAACUCUUUGAGCCUCAGGCUCCUCGGGAGGGUUGAGGUCUCUUCUGUGCCUUAGGAAUGUCAGACAUCUGCCUGUCUGCUUUUUUCCUGCUAAAUUCUCCCCACUGAUUGCUCCCUGCCUCCAGGAAUACUGCAGGACACGAUGCAAAGAUUCCGAAGGAGAAAGGGCAAAAGCCUUUCUCCAAGCCAGCAACCAGUCCUGUCUCUUUUCUCUGACCUCCAAAUCCAUCCUUGGGAGCUAGUGGCCACGAUGGCCGCCAUCAACCCUGCCCAUCGACUCUUCCCUCACGCCCCCAGAGGGAUCGAAAUGUCAUCGGAGCGUGCUACUCCCUGGCCUCCCGUGCCACUUCGCAUGAAAACCAGCCUCCUUUCCACGUCUCCGGUGCUCUACAGGCGGUUUCACCCCUCCGCUGAUGCACACCUGUUCCCUUCUGUUCCUCAAAGGAGUUGUUUUAUAUGCAAACCCCAUGACCCAGCAACUCCAUCGCUAGUCUAUACUAAACAGAAAUGUACACAUAUAUCCCUCAGAAGAUGGGUUCAAGAGUACUCAUAGCAGUGUUAUUAUUUUCUUUGGUGAGGAAGAUUGGCCCUGACCUAACAUCUGUGCCCAUCUUCCUCUAUUUUGUAUGUGAGACACUCCACAGCAUGGCUUGGUGAGCAGUGUGCAGGUCCAGGCCCGGGAUCUGAACCCCUGAACCCCGGGCCACUGAAGUGGUGCAUAUGAAGUUAACCACUGCAGCCGGCCCCGGCAGUGUUAUUCUUAAUAGCCAAAACAACCCAAAUGUCCAUGAGGAGGAGAAUGGAUAAAUAGUGGAAUUUGUCAACAAGAAUGAAAGAACAACAUGGAUGAGUCUUAAAACCAUAGUGUGGAGCAAAGAAGCCAGAUACAGAAGAGUGCAUACUAUGGGGUUCUGAGGCACAAAGUUCAGAAGCAAUCUAUGAUAUUCAAAGCUAAGAAGUUCAAAAACACUUCUGUCUAGGGAGGCAGAAGUCAGGAUGGUGGUCAGCCUGGGAGGCAGGUGGUGGAUGGGAGGGGCGCAGGGGGUCCCCUGGGGUGCCAGUUAUGUUUUGUUUCUUAUGUGGGUCUGGUUACACAGUGUGUAUUCACUCUCUGAUAGUUCACCAAUUUGUACAUUUUUCUUGGUGUCUGUUCAAUAAAGUAUUAGAAAAUAAAAGAGCUGCUCUGCGUCCUGCCACAUGGCUUUUGCACACACCCUUUGCUCCGUCCAGAAUUCUCCACCCUCUCUUAGUCUUUCCCUCGUGAAUUCCUACGGGUUGUUCAGACCCAGCUCAGGCCUUC